This 459-nucleotide ribosomal RNA is filed under the name uncultured bacterium. Its description in RNAcentral is "partial 16S ribosomal RNA". It matches the Rfam family "Bacterial small subunit ribosomal RNA", at positions 338 to 795 of the family's 1533-position model. The record is from RNAcentral.
CCUACGGUGGGCAGCAGUGAGGAAUAUUGGUCAAUGGCCGGGAGGCUGAACCAGCCAAGUCGCGUGAGGGAAGACGGCCCUACGGGUUGUAAACCUCUUUUGUCAGGGAGCAAGGUGCAGGUCGGGACCUGCUGUGAGAGUACCUGAAGAAAAAGCAUCGGCUAACUCCGUGCCAGCAGCCGCGGUAAUACGGAGGAUGCGAGCGUUAUCCGGAUUUAUUGGGUUUAAAGGGUGCGCAGGCGGAGGCACAAGUCAGCGGUAAAAUCGCGGGGCUCAACCCCGCUCCGCCGUUGAAACUGUGUCCGUUGAGUGCGCGAAGGGUAGGCGGAAUGCGUGGUGUAGCGGUGAAAUGCAUAGAUAUUAGGAGGAACACCAGUGGCGAAGGCGGCCUGCUGGACUGUAACUGACGUUGAGGCUCGAAAGCGUGGGGAGCAAACAGGAUUAGAUACCCUUGUAGUC